UCGACAGAUUCAUCGAUUGUGAAAAUAAUCGUUAGUUAUUGAUAAUUGAUAUUGAUAUCAUCGGUUAAAAUACCCCUGGUGUUAUCUGAAAUGAUUCAUUGAAUAUACAGUGUUAUUAUACAGUAUUAGACCACCACCCAAAGCCACAGCUGCUGUUAAAAUCCCAGGUCUCCUCCUCACCUGCCUCGUCACUGCCACACCUACCUGGACCACGCCCCUAACCCUAUAUAACCCGCCCCUUCCUCCCUUUGACCCCCGUUUUUCUUCCCUCCAAACAAAUCCAGGAGAACAAAGGAACACUGCUAUUCCUGUGUUUAACCCUCUGCCUAAGAGAGGAAAGUAAGAGUGGAUGCAUUACUGAUACAAAAUCAUCCACCAUUACCCCUCAUCACCUGUUUACAAAUAAAAUAUUGGAACUUGGAAAGCUGCCUGGAUCCUGUGUCUAAAUGUGCACCCAACGUAUGAUGU
Molecule: long non-coding RNA, 468 nt
Organism: Solea senegalensis (Senegalese sole)
Lineage: Eukaryota; Metazoa; Chordata; Actinopteri; Pleuronectiformes; Soleidae
Exons: 3
Source: RefSeq, a predicted model, not a curated record